UGACAUUAGUAACGGAAGCGAGGUUAUCCCUCAACCUUAUAGGCGGUAUUGAUGGGACAAAUGUGUUAUAAAUAUUAGAAGUUAAACAAAGCUAAGAAAAUAAGUUUCGUCGAGGUUCGAAAUUUAUUUAAAUGAAAUACAGUCCAAGCUAUAAUAUCCUGUAUUUUUGGACUAGGAAAUCGAAUCGUCCAGCAUGAGCAAAUUGUACCGACUGUAAGUUUUGGUCAUAGUCAAACAUGAAAAUAAAAGAAUUCGGUGUAUACGAGAAAUGGAGUCCCGAGAUGAUUUAAGAAGGAAAAGUGUGACGAUGAUGACUGGAAAUAAUAUUUUAUGUGUACCAAAAGGAAAUAUAAACUAGUGUUAUGUCACAUAAUUAUGAUAAUGAGUAUAUAAAGUGUAUUAAAAAUAAUUGUUAUAAAGGUGAAUUGAAUAAAUAUUACGGGUGCACAAUUAUGGUGGGAAACAAAGUGAGGCAAUUUAGAAACAAAGUGGACAAGUGUAAAGAUUGAUGAGUUCAUGUGGGCCAUGAAAAAAAAAACCAAAUAUCAAGCAAUGCAUGGCUGUACUAUAUAUUAUUUGGUGGGUGGACAGUUGGGACAAUUACAAUUAGUAAGCAAGAAUGGGGCUGGACCCCACGACAUCAGGAAAAAAAAAGGUGGCAUUAAAAUAUGCAGAUGGGAGUGAUGAGUCAUGCACAUUAAAGUGCAUAAUGACACGUACAAAAGAAAGGAUGCUGAAUCCCUUUCUCUUUUUAAGCAUUCAAACUUAAACCUUUCCCAUUUUGCCAUAAUAAUAAACGUACCACACCAUUAUUUUCUCUCUAGCUAAUUAUUUUGUUGUUUCAAUAUGCAAGGAAGCAACAACGUGACUUCCAUUUAUAUGGAAACAACGCAGUUUUGAAUUGAUAGAGCACCAACGUGACUUGGUAUUUUACGGAAGAAAAAUGUAAUUUUUUUUUCUCAAGAACAAUAUUCGAAUUUUGCUCACUGCUUCGAUCUCGUUAUUCCGUCUUAUCGUAUUGUUGAAUCCGGGCUUUCUUCGUAGUGAAGUAAGGUGGAAGAAGAUUAUUUCUUGGAAUAUAAGACCUGCGAGCUCGAGAAGUAGACGUUGGACAUUAGAUAGAGUUCAAGGUAUGAGAGGCUAGUCCUUUCUUUCUAUGGCAUGAAUCUUAUAGCUUGACUCUCUUUUUGUCCAUGAGUUUCCUUAAGUUCAGGAAAAUAUGAGUCUAUGUCCAUAAUUAGCCACACAAGGUAAGGAGUAAAGUAUAGAAAUCCCAAUAAUCAUGUUGUGAUGAUCAUAUGAUGUUAAUGAUGCUAAUUAUUGCUUACACUCACCUUAUAUGCUAAUUCCUUCAAGGUGAGGCAGGAUGUCAAUGAAUGUUCCAUAAUGACGUCGGAAGGCACCGACCUUACGUCACUCCGAUAUAGUUAUGACUUUUGAUUGGGCUCUUAUGCAUGUUUUAUAUAUAUGUAUGUAUGUAUUUUCUCACACCGCGUCGCGCUAUAGUCGGCCGGGCAGGCACGUAGAUGUGCACACCACUAUAGUGGGCAGCUUAUACCCCGGACGCGGGAGGCCUGGACGCAGGCUAUGAUUAUCACACCGCUCAUACGUGGACGGGCAGCUUAUACAUUAUCACACCGUACCUAUAUGGACGGGCAGCUUAUAUAUGUAUACAUACAUGACAUGAUAAUGAUUAUGAGUAAGUCAGCAUGCAUUAUUUCAUUUAUAUUUGACAGCCAGUAUAGAUUGCUCUUUCUUGAUGCUUCCUUAUUUCAUUGAUGCCUUCCUAUUUCAUUGAUAUAUUGUUAUUGUUUAUGCUUCUCAUACUCAGUACAAUAUUCGUACUGACGUCCGUUUUCUUCGGACGCUGUGUUCAUGCCCACAGGUAGACAGGGAGGUGAACUUGAUCCAGAUUCUUAGUAGCUGUCAGCUGAUUGAGAGCACUCCAUUGUUCGGAGGUGCUUAUGAUUCUUCUUUUGGUAUAUAUGUAUAUUUUGGGCACGACGGAGUCUUGUUCCAUCUAUAUGUUUAGUAUGUCAGUAGAGGCUCGUAGAUACGCAGUGUGGGUCAGAUGGUCUCACAAGAUGUUAUUAUUAUGUAUAUAUUAUUUUGGUGGCCGAGAGGCAAAAGUGGUAUAAGUAUUUAUGUUUCUAUAUAAAAUAUAAUUUUCCUACAAUUCGUGUAUAAAAUUGGUAAGAGAGCAUUAAAUGAGUAAGAUGAGUAUUAGAGCGAUUGGUGCUCGGUGGCUAACCCCGGGUACCCGUCACGGUCCCUAGCUGGGUCGUGACAAAAGUGGUAUCAGAGCAGUUCGUCCUAGGAAGUGUUUACGAGCCGUGUCUAGUAGAGUCUUGUUUAUGGUGUGUAGCGCGCCAUGCCAAUAAACAGGAGGCUACCGGGCAUUUAGGAAAAAUGACCAUCUUUCAUCUUAAGAGAUCGUGCGAUAGAGCCAAAAGAUAGGAAAUGGUAUCCCUUAUAUAGUGAUAUUUGAUUUCAGCAAGAGAGUGGUGUCGACAAGAGAAGACAAAUAAUGCUACUGGAAAUUACAGAGAUUAAUAUUUCAUUGAGGUUACGUUAUCAGAAAUUGUAUAUACGGAAUGGCGACUGGUCAUCAUCACGGUUAGUAAUUGUGAAUAUAGUAAGAAAAUGGAUUGAAUGUAUAUAUAUUGAUGAUAAGUUCAGUUACAAAGUGUGAACAGAAGAAGCUGAAGAAAUUAGUAAAAAGAUAAGUAAGCAGGGUAUAUGUUAGAUAUAGUGCGAAUGUUGCAGGUAUGAUUGAAAUGUCGCUAGAGAUUAAAAAGGGAAAGUGAACAGAAGAGUAUAACAGGUACAGUUUGAAUUGGACAUACGAGGUAAGUUCAUCAUUUCCAUACAGUUGUUGAUAUCGGGAGCCCUGUGUGGCUAUGAUAUGCUAUAUAUAUGUUGGCCCUGUGAGGCAUUGUUGGUAUUUUCUGCGUGCAGGUUAUGGGAUAGUAAGAAAUACAGAGGAAACUCUGUCAAAAUUUUCUUAGAAAAAGAAUAAUAAUAAUAAUAAUAAUAAUAAUAAUAAUAAUAAUAAUAAUAAUAAUAAUAAUAAUAAUAAUAAUAAAUCUUGAAAAGUCAUGUCAACAGUAGUGAUAGGAUUUGAUCAAAGAAUAAAUUUUAUGCAUAAUUGAUUAAGGGGGGCGUCUAGUGGAAGUAAAUAUAUAUCGAUUAAUAGAUAAGUUUUAUUAAGGAAUAUGUAAUCCACGUGCCACUGGUAAAAUAGGACCAAGAGAUUAUUUACUAUUAGGUAUAGCUAAUGGUGACACAUGUAGGACCAGACAUUAUUUCUUCAGAGUAAUAGCAAAAGAGGGGGAGACCCCACGGUCCACUAAUAUUCUAUAACUAUUGUCAUACCAAUAUACUUACCUCUUAAGAAUGUAUGUGUAAAUGUUCCUAUGACCAGCAAACGAUGAGCUAGUAUGGAAAAAUAUGUAUUCUCCUUUUUCUAAAAUUAAGUUAGGCAAAGUCCCCUUUAAAAAAAAAUAAUUGUGUAAUUGGCUAAAUGAGAAAUAUAGUGGAGAAUGGUAUUAAGUUAAGCAAGGAGAGACACGAUAUGAUAGAAGAGUAACUGAUUCUUCAUAAGAUCACCAUGUCCAGUAUACUUAUACAGGACUAGUUUAACAUUCGAGGACGAAUGUUCUAAAGGGGGAAGAAUGUUCCAUCCCGUAUUUUCGUGCAUUGGAAAACGUGCGAGUUAAAUGACAUUAGUAACGGAAGCGAGGUUAUCCCUCAACCUUAUAGGCGGUAUUGAUGGGACAAAUGUGUUAUAAAUAUUAGAAGUUAAACAAAGCUAAGAAAAUAAGUUUCGUCGAGGUUUGAAAUUUAUUUAAAUGAAAUACAAUCCAAGCUAUAAUAUCCUGUAUUUUUCGACUAGGAAAUCGAAUCGUCCAGCAUGAGCAAAUUGUACCGACUGUAAGUUUUGGUCAUAGUCAAACAUGAAAAUAAAAGAAUUCGGUGUAUACGAGAAAUGGAGUCCCGAGAUGAUUUAAGAAGGAAAAGUGUGACGAUGAUGACUGGAAAUAAUAUUUUAUGUGUACCAAAAGGAAAUAUAAACUAGUGUUAUGUCACAUAAUUAUGAUAAUGAGUAUAUAAAGUGUAUUAAAAAUAAUUGUUAUAAAGGUGAAUUGAAUAAAUAUUACGGGUGCACAAUUAUGGUGGGAAACAAAGUGAGGCAAUUUAGAAACAAAGUGGACAAGUGUAAAGAUUGAUGAGUUCAUGUGGGCCAUGAAAAAAAAAAACCAAAUAUCAAGCAAUGCAUGGCUGUACUAUAUAUUAUUUGGUGGGUGGACAGUUGGGACAAUUACAAUUAGUAAGCAAGAAUGGGGCUGGACCCCACGACAUCAGGAAAAAAAAAGGUGGCAUUAAAAUAUGCAGAUGGGAGUGAUGAGUCAUGCACAUUAAAGUGCAUAAUGACACGUACAAAAGAAAGGAUGCUGAAUCCCUUUCUCUUUUUAAGCAUUCAAACUUAUACCUUUCCCAUUUUGCCAUAAUAAUAAACAUACCACACCAUUAUUUUCUCUCUAGCUAAUUAUUUUGUUAUUUCAAUAUGCAAGGAAGCAACAACGUGACUUCCAUUUAUAUGGAAACAACGCAGUUUUGAAUUGAUAGAGCACCAACGUGACUUGGUAUUUUACGGAAGAAAAAUGUAAUUUUUUUUUCUCAAGAACAAUAUUCGAAUUUUGCUCACUGCUUCGAUCUCGUUAUUCCGUCUUAUCGUGUUGUUGAAUCCGGGCUUUCUUCGUAGUGAAGUAAGGUGGAAGAAGAUUAUUUCUUGGAAUAUAAGGUAAGAAUUCUCCUCUACUAGAUAUAUUUAAAUUCAUCCAGGCCAUAGUUAAAUUGAGAGACGGGAACUACAAAAUUAAUUGCAAAAAAUCGGAUAAAUUGUUAUUAUUACCAUAUGGACUGUUUGGUGGUUGUCAUAAAUUGUUUGGUGUGCUGGAAUAUCGUGAGAUGGGCUGUAGUAGUUGUUGUUGUGUUUAUUGUUAUAUUAUGGAUAUACGAAAAUAAAGAAGUGUAUACAAGCAUUGGUAUACGAAUGUAUAUUGGGCUGUUUUGGAAGCGAUUUAAGAAUGGAUUUAAUUCUAAUUUGAUAUGAAAUUGUUGGUAUUGUUGUUGCUAGUAUUUUUAUUGAUGUUUGGCUAAGUUGGAAUUUCGAGGAUUGUUAAGUUUACAGGGGAAAUGCUGCCCGAAUUUUGUUAAGUUCCUUUCGUACUUGGAUUGGUUAGUAAGUAAUGUGGAUAAUCUAAUUGUGGCCUAUGUUGUCUUAAUUUUAGACCUGCGAGCUCGAGAAUUAGACGUUGGACAUUAGAUAGAGUUCAAGGUAUGUGAGGCUAGUCCUUUCUUUCUAUGGCAUGAAUCUUAUAGCUUGACUCUUUUUUUAUCCAUGAGUUUCCUUAAGUUCCGGAAAAUAUGAGUCUAUGUCCAUAAUUAGCCACACAAGGUAAGGAGUAAAGUAUAGAAAUCCCAAUAAUCAUGUUGUGAUGAUCAUCUGAUGUUAAUGAUGCUAAUUAUUGCUUACACUCACCUUAUAUGCUAAUUCCUUCAAGGUGAGGCAGGAUGACAAUGAAUGUUCCAUAAUGACGUCGGAAGCCACCGACCUUACGUCACUCCGAUAUAGUUAUGGCUUUUGAUUGGGCUCUUAUGCAUGUUUUAUAUAUAUGUAUGUAUGUAUGUAUUUUCUCACACCGCGCCGCGCUAUAGUCGGCCGGGAGGCACGUAGAUGUGCACACCACUAUAUUGGGCAGCUUAUACCCCGGACGCGGGAGGCCUGGACGCAGGCUAUGAUUAUCACACCGCUCAUACGUGGACGGGCAGCUUAUACAUUAUCACACCGUACCUAUAUGGACGGGCAGCUUAUAUAUGUAUACAUACAUGACAUGAUAAUGAUUAUGAGUAAGUCAGCAUGCAUUAUUUCAUUUAUAUUUGACAGCCAGUAUAGAUUGCUCUUUCUUGAUGCUUCCUUAUUUUGAUUGAUGCCUUCAUAUUUCAUUGAUAUAUUGUUAUUGUUUAUGCCUCUCAUACUCAGUACAAUAUUCGUACUGACGUCCGUUUUCUUCGGACGCUGUGUUCAUGCCCACAGGUAGACAGGGAGGUGAGCUUGAUCCAGAUUCUUAGUAGCUGUCAGCUGAUUGAGAGCACUCCAUUGUUCGGAGGUGCUUAUGAUUCUUCUUUUGGUAUAUAUGUAUAUUUUGGGCACGACGGAGUCUUGUUCCAUCUAUAUGUUUAGUAUGUCAGUAGAGGCUCGUAGAUACGCAGUGUGGGUCAGAUGGUCUCACAAGAUGUUAUUAUUAUGUAUUUAUUAUUUUGGUGGCCGAGAGGUAAAAGUGGUAUAAGUUUUUAAUUUUUCUAUAUAAAAUAUAAUUUUCCUACAAUUCGUGUAUAAAAUUGGUAAAAGAGCAUUAAAUGAGUAAGAUGAGUAUUAGAGCGAAUGGUGCUCGGUGGCUAGCCCCGGGUACCCGUCACGGUCCCUAGAUGGGUCGUGACACUGAGUCUCAGGUCCGUACCGGUUAGGGGACUCAGCAUGGGAGAUCUUAGCUGCUCGCCCCCCACAUCCUCGUGUCCUGGAUAUACUACGUUGGGACGGUAUCUACCGGUGCGUCGAUGUUGGUCGGGUACAUCACGAUAGGUCGCUAGUGACGUCAUUGAUUGAGAGGUGGCGACCGGAGACGCACACAUUUCAUCUCCGCACCGGUGAGGCUACCAUUACCCUUCAGGAUGUGGAGGUCAUUUAUGGGCUACAGGUUGAUGGACGCCCAUUUUAUAUUGAGGAGCCUCCUGUGCUGCCGUCUUACCGGGAUGAGUUGACUAGGCUCACCGGUUUCGCGGCUCUGGAUGGUCAUAUUUCUGGCCAGAGUCGACUUUUGUUCUUGGCCCUUUACGCUCACUUGCGCCUCACAGACAUGCAACAUCCGAUUGGAGAGGACACGCCUCAGGCUGAUGUUGAUCGACGCGCGCGUCUAUACCUACUCAUCAUAUUCGGGGUCAUCCUGUUCCUGAACACUUCGGGUUCGCAUUUGAGCUUGAGGUAUCUUCGGUAUAUCGACGAUCUCGUCAAGAUAGGAUGUUAUAGUUGGGGCGCUGCUGUACUGGGCUACAUGUAUCGAGGAUUCUCCCGAUGUUCUAUGGGCACGAGGGUAGAGGUCCCUGCAUUUUGCUUGCUCCUUCAGAUAUGGGUGUGGACUAGGUUAAGACCUUUUCAGCCCAUACCAGCUCACCCUCCCGCUGACUAUCUUACUGUGCCGAUUCCAUAUGCGCGGAGAUGGUCGCGAGGCGUAGCCGACUUGCGGAGACGCACCACAGCCUUCUCCCGUUUAGGGAUCAGCUAGACCGCAUGACGG
Lycium barbarum (goji berry) is the source of this 7358-nucleotide long non-coding RNA. RefSeq lists it as uncharacterized. The transcript is spliced from 3 exons. The record is from RefSeq and is a predicted model, not a curated record. Lineage: Eukaryota; Viridiplantae; Streptophyta; Magnoliopsida; Solanales; Solanaceae.